CUUCGUCAUCACGGGGAAGGAGCCACGCCUACCUGCGAAUUUCUCAGGCAGUCUUUUGUUGAGAGCUCCUCCGCAAGAAAACCUCUCCUCUCCUCUUCUUGUUCUCUCGGGAAGCUGCUCGAUCGAGUUCGAUAGUGUUCUCUCCGUCGUCUCUAAUCCUUCUUCUGAUCAGGCUGACAUGGCGGGAAGAAACCGCGUGCCUCGUGAGUUAAUGAACAACCGCCGGGGUUACCCUCCUGAGGGACCUUAUGUUCGUGGGCCGACUUUGCAUCGGCCGCCCCCACCCACAGCGUUGUUGGAGGAGGAGCUUGACAUACAGCAUGCCGAACUUCAGAGGCUUUUGGCUGAUAAUCAUCGAUUGGUUGAUGAUCGGAUUGCUCUUCAGCGAGAGCUUGGGGGGGCUAAGGAGGAAAUUCAUCGCAUGAAUCUUGUUAUUGGUGAUCUUCGGGCGGAUCAGGAAAUGCAGUCGAGGGAUCUCAUUGAUAAGGGCUUGAAGCUGGAGGCUGAUCUUCGUACCGCUGAACCUUUGAAGAAGGAGGUGAUACAACUCCGUGGGGAAACUCAGGAACUCAAUAAACUUAGGCAAGAUCUCUCCAGGCAGAUUCAGACAUUGACCCGAGAUAUUGCUAGAUUGAAGAAUGAAAAUCAGCAAAUUCCACUUCUAAGAGCUGAGAUUGAUGGCUUGAACCAGGAGCUCAUGCAUACUAGGUCUGCUAUUGAGUUUGAGAAGAAGGAUAAUGUUGAGCUGAUGGAGCAGAGACAGGCGAUGGAGAAAAAUUUGGUUACUAUGGCACGGGAAGUUGAAAAGUUGCGUGCAGAACUAGCUGCUGGUGAUUCCAGAAUGUGGGGCACUGGCGUGCAAUAUGGAAUGAAUUUCAACAGUGCAGAUGGGGGCUUCUCCGCUCCUUAUGGAGAUAGUUAUGGUGUUCAAACGGGUGGUAAGAGCAAUGGCCCUCAUUAUGGUUCAAGUUCUGCUUUCCGUGGAGGAGCUGAUAAGACUCGCUUUAAUCGGCGUUGAAACAUGUUUGGAUAAACUCCUGAGGAACUUACAGCUGCUGUUCAUUUCAAGCGGUGGAUUCGUCCAUAUUCGCGUGCAACAACAGUAAUGUGGGGCUGCUUUUGGGCUAUAAGGCUGAAGCUGGUUCGGAGAAGAACGUCAGGUACAUGAUCGGCUAUGCAGAAACCGAAAAACAUUUAUGUAUGUCUACAAUUUGUAUCAUUUUUGGGGCAGGAUUUGUGGUGAAAUUAGUGCUUAAAACUCAUGUUUCUUAGAUUAAUUCUGAUCUGGAUGGUUUGAUAUGAUAUGCUAUCAGUUACAAUCCUCUCUUCCUUAACUUUAGGUAUAGUUAUUUAGUUAUAUUUAUUUUGGUUUCUCAGCCUAGAUCCACUGUAAGUACAGAGUGACUAGUGAAAGACUUUCUUAUUUCUUA
Molecule: non-coding RNA, 1430 nt
Organism: Punica granatum (pomegranate)
Lineage: Eukaryota; Viridiplantae; Streptophyta; Magnoliopsida; Myrtales; Lythraceae
Source: RefSeq, a predicted model, not a curated record